This 268-nucleotide signal recognition particle RNA is filed under the name Actinomycetota bacterium. Its description in RNAcentral is "signal recognition particle sRNA large type". It matches the Rfam family "Bacterial large signal recognition particle RNA". From Rfam's summary of the family: The signal recognition particle (SRP) is a universally conserved ribonucleoprotein involved in the co-translational targeting of proteins to membranes. Archaeal SRP consists of a 7S RNA and homologues of the eukaryotic SRP19 and SRP54 proteins. In most bacteria, the SRP consists of a 4.5S RNA and the Ffh protein (a homologue of the eukaryotic SRP54 protein). The record is from RNAcentral. Lineage: Bacteria; Bacillati; Actinomycetota.
CCGUGCUAGGCGGGGUGCUAGCGGUGCCCUGUACCCGCAAUCCGCUCUAGCGGGGCUGAAUCCCCUCCCGAGGGGCUCCAGGCCCCGGGGUCAGCGCCCUGUUCUCGGUGCUGAUGGUUCGGUCCCGUUGCGAUGAAGACCCGUGAACCAGGUCAGGUCCGGAAGGAAGCAGCCUUAAGCGGUCACCUUCAGGCGCGGCGGGAGUGCCAGACCGGAGCUUUGAAACGGUGGUCGCGCCUCGGGAACGGCUUCGACGGAGGGUGCACGG